Molecule: ribosomal RNA, 274 nt
Filed under: uncultured bacterium
Lineage: Bacteria
Description: partial 16S ribosomal RNA
Rfam family: Bacterial small subunit ribosomal RNA
Source: RNAcentral
CUACGAGGGGCCCGAGCGUUAAUCGGAAUCACUGGGCUUAAAGGGUGCGCAGGCGGACUUGUAAGCAUCUUGUGAAAUCCCCCGGCUCAACCGGGGAACUGCAGGGUGAACUGCAAGUCUUGAGACAGGUAGGGGCAGAUGGAACUGUCGGUGGAGCGGUGAAAUGCUUAGAUAUCGACAGGAACGCCAAUGGCGAAGGCAAUCUGCUGGGCCUGUUCUGACGCUCAGGCACGAAAGCGUGGGGAGCAAACAGGAUUAGAUACCCUAGUAGUCC